This is a long non-coding RNA of Octopus sinensis (East Asian common octopus), 1163 nucleotides long. RefSeq lists it as uncharacterized. The record is from RefSeq and is a predicted model, not a curated record. The transcript has 3 exons. Lineage: Eukaryota; Metazoa; Mollusca; Cephalopoda; Octopoda; Octopodidae.
UUCUUUUAAAUAAAUAAACCGUUUUAAAGCUUUAUAUGGAAAAGAAAAUAUUUUGCUUUUCUAUGAAAACGCUUAAUUGUUAGUUCAAUGUAAUUGUUUGGUUUUUUUGGGGUUUUUUUUUGCAACUGCUUUAUGCUAAUUUCCCUCCAUUAUUUUGCAAUUAUUAACUUAUAUCUUCAAACUUUAUUAUUAAUUAUUAAAGGUCUAUAUAUAUGUAUAUAUAUAUCUCAGUAACUUGAUACAAUGAAAUGUCUAAAAGUUUGAAAAUCUCUUGAACUAAAUAUGAAACAUUAUUGUUUUGUAUCCUGCAUUAUCUUCCAAAAUAUCAUUAGAACUAAAUUUGGAAAAGGAUAUUUCUCAGUCUCUGGAUGAAAGAGAAAUUAUUCUCUGCUCAGUUUUUCUACUUGCUUUCGUAAAAAAAUCUAGGUUAAAAAAGAAAAUAAAAAAUCAGGGAAAUAUUUUUCAAAAGUAUCUUCAGGUAUUAGUGCCUUUUAUGAAAAUAAUUCUUUUUUGUUGCUACCAAUCAUUCUCUAGAUAAUAAACAUUUUUAGAUAGAAUCUUAUCUGAAAUAUAUUUUCUGUAUCAUUUUCAUCAGUUUUGUGUGUGUGCUUGUGUAUAUAUAAAUAUAUAUAUAUAUAUAAUGAUGGCUUCUGUUAUUUCUAAAUGUAUACUUAGCACUGUACACUGAAUGUCAUUUGUUGCUUCUGAAGCUGCUGUUUGAUAUUGAACCCACUAGCAGACUUGUAGAGCUCUUCUCUGCUUUCAGCAAUGUUUACUCAAUUUUCAAUUCCAGAUUCUUCACUCAUUCUAUGAUCAGUAGCACAUCACCUUAAACUCAUUGCUUUUGUGUCUCUCAGUGAUUUUUAUCUUCCACCAGAGAAUCUUUUGCUGGUUAUUAAACGAGAUUAUAAAAUUGAUUAUUCUAACUUAUGAUGUUUUGUAUUCUAAUGAAUGUACUAUCUUCCCUUUCUGAGAACAUCUUUGUUAAUUUUCAUCAAAAUUGUUUUGAGGGAAUAGACAUUUUUAACCUUGGUUGAAAUAUAUAUUAACAAUAGGACACGGAAAUGAAAUAAUGCAUCUUUUCUCUGAAAUAGGUGAUUUUGGUGUUGUAGGUUCACUGCAGUAAACUUUGGUGACAUAACCUUGAAGCAGAUAAUUAGCAG